Molecule: ribosomal RNA, 165 nt
Filed under: Raddia lancifolia
Lineage: Eukaryota; Viridiplantae; Streptophyta; Magnoliopsida; Poales; Poaceae
Description: 5.8S ribosomal RNA
Rfam family: 5.8S ribosomal RNA (bases 1-146)
About the family: 5.8S ribosomal RNA (5.8S rRNA) is a component of the large subunit of the eukaryotic ribosome. It is transcribed by RNA polymerase I as part of the 45S precursor that also contains 18S and 28S rRNA.
Source: RNAcentral
AACGGAUAUCUCGGCUCUCGCAUCGAUGAAGAACGUAGCGAAAUGCGAUACCUGGUGUGAAUUGCAGAAUCCCGCGAACCAUCGAGUCUUUGAACGCAAGUUGCGCCCGAGGCCAUCCGGCCGAGGGCACGCCUGCCUGGGCGUCACGCCAAAAGACGCUCCGCG